AACGUUCAUGUAGACAAAACACCCAUAUCCAUAAAAUAUUUUUAAAAAAAAGAACGGUAACUAGUGCACCAGAGGGCGUCCCCGUUUCCUCCGCUUUUUGUUCCAUCGGGCUCCCAGCCUACUGGAUGGUGCUGUCCAUCUGCAGGGCGGGUCUCUGCCACCCCAAGCACGGCUCUCCUACCUGCACACCAAUCUUCUUCCAAAACAUCCCCACAAAUAAAACCAGACGUUUGCCAGUUUCCUGGUGACUCUGCAUCUGGGUACAUUGCUUCCCGUAAUUGUUGUCAUUGUCAGCUUCACGAAAAAGUACCUGGGACAUUUAGGAGACACACCUUUGGGUGUGUCUGUGAAGAGAGGGAGAAAGAUCCACUCCGGGUGUGCCCAGCACUGCUCUACAAGGGGGAUCCUGACUGUCUAAAAGCAGAAACGCCAGCUGAGUAUCAGUAUGCUUCCCGAUUCUCUAAGAUGUGAGCAAGCAGCCUCACCUUCCUGCAGCCGCGGCUAAGAGUGGUUCCUGCCACCGUGCCUCUCUGCUAGGAAGGACUGUUGCCUUAAACUGUGAGCUAAAUGAACGCUCCUUCCCUCAAGUCGCUCCUUAUCAUGUACUCAGUUCCAGCCUAGUCAUCGCGGUUUCAGGAGUGACUGUGUGGUUCUUUAAAGGAGGGCCAGUAUUGUGACUGUGUGUGACAACUGAGCCCAAAUAUCCCAGAAAGGAGGUAUUACAAAGAG
This 729-nucleotide long non-coding RNA is filed under the name Cricetulus griseus (Chinese hamster). Its description in RNAcentral is "lncRNA (ENSCGRG00015035839.1)". Lineage: Eukaryota; Metazoa; Chordata; Mammalia; Rodentia; Cricetidae. The record is from RNAcentral.